This 467-nucleotide ribosomal RNA is filed under the name uncultured bacterium. Its description in RNAcentral is "bacterial SSU rRNA". It matches the Rfam family "Bacterial small subunit ribosomal RNA", at positions 58 to 520 of the family's 1533-position model. The record is from RNAcentral.
CAAGUCGAACGGCAGCGGGGGCUUCGGCCUGCCGGCGAGUGGCGAACGGGUGAGUAAUGCAUCGGAACGUACCCAGUCGUGGGGGAUAACUACGCGAAAGCGUAGCUAAUACCGCAUACGCCCUGAGGGGGAAAGCGGGGGACCUUCGGGCCUCGCGCGAUUGGAGCGGCUGAUGUCGGAUUAGCUAGUUGGUGGGGUAAAGGCCUACCAAGGCGACGAUCCGUAGCUGGUCUGAGAGGAUGAUCAGCCACACUGGGACUGAGACACGGCCCAGACUCCUACGGGAGGCAGCAGUGGGGAAUUUUGGACAAUGGGCGCAAGCCUGAUCCAGCCAUGCCGCGUGAGUGAAGAAGGCCUUCGGGUUGUAAAGCUCUUUCAGACGGAAAGAAAUCGGGCGCGUGAAUAGCGUGCCUGGAUGACGGUACUCUCAGAAGAAGCACCGGCUAACUACGUGCCAGCAGCCGCGG